This 328-nucleotide long non-coding RNA is filed under the name Astyanax mexicanus (Mexican tetra). Its description in RNAcentral is "lncRNA (ENSAMXG00005005132.1)". Lineage: Eukaryota; Metazoa; Chordata; Actinopteri; Characiformes; Acestrorhamphidae. The record is from RNAcentral.
UAAUUGAUUAAAUUGGCCUUUGAGACUCUAACACUGAGUGAUUCAUUAUCUGUUCUCUGUUUUUGCCACAGACGCCAGAUCCCACCAAAAUCCAUCUCCAGUCAGCGUGCAGGUUCAAAUGAAAAUUUAAGCAAAACUCCUGACGUGUGCAAAUCCAGCCUUUAUGGUAAGAAAGCGAAGGAUGAGGAUCCUAACGCCAUCUCCAGGGAGCUGCCGGAGAUUCCUACAGAGAAGUCAGAUUGUCAGGAUAAGACCCAGGCAGGGAGACAAGGAGGCGGACGCAAGUGCAGGUAAGGGCGAGAUUUAAUAAAUAAAUAACAAAUAAACA